RNAcentral lists this ribosomal RNA (510 nucleotides) under uncultured bacterium. Its description in RNAcentral is "partial 16S ribosomal RNA". It matches the Rfam family "Bacterial small subunit ribosomal RNA", at positions 355 to 882 of the family's 1533-position model. The record is from RNAcentral.
UGGGGAAUAUUGGACAAUGGGGGCAACCCUGAUCCAGCAAUGCCGCGUGUGUGAAGAAGGUCUUCGGAUUGUAAAGCACUUUCGACGGGGACGAUGAUGACGGUACCCGUAGAAGAAGCCCCGGCUAACUUCGUGCCAGCAGCCGCGGUAAUACGAAGGGGGCUAGCGUUGCUCGGAAUGACUGGGCGUAAAGGGCGUGUAGGCGGUUUACACAGUCAGAUGUGAAAUCCCCGGGCUUAACCUGGGAGCUGCAUUUGAUACGUGUAGACUAGAGUGUGAGAGAGGGUUGUGGAAUUCCCAGUGUAGAGGUGAAAUUCGUAGAUAUUGGGAAGAACACCGGUGGCGAAGGCGGCAACCUGGCUCAUGACUGACGCUGAGGCGCGAAAGCGUGGGGAGCAAACAGGAUUAGAUACCCUGGUAGUCCACGCUGUAAACGAUGUGUGCUAGAUGUUGGGUAACUUUGUUAUUCAGUGUCGCAGUUAACGCGUUAAGCACACCGCCUGGGGAGUA